Molecule: ribosomal RNA, 1486 nt
Filed under: Microbacterium sp.
Lineage: Bacteria; Bacillati; Actinomycetota; Actinomycetes; Micrococcales; Microbacteriaceae
Description: bacterial SSU rRNA
Rfam family: Bacterial small subunit ribosomal RNA
Source: RNAcentral
AGAGUUUGAUCCUGGCUCAGGAUGAACGCUGGCGGCGUGCUUAACACAUGCAAGUCGAACGAUGAAGCCUAGCUUGCUGGGUGGAUUAGUGGCGAACGGGUGAGUAACACGUGAGCAACCUGCCCCUGACUCUGGGAUAAGCGCUGGAAACGGCGUCUAAUACUGGAUACGAACAAGAAUCGCAUGGUUACUUGUUGGAAAGAUUUUUCGGUUGGGGAUGGGCUCGCGGCCUAUCAGCUUGUUGGUGAGGUAAUGGCUCACCAAGGCGUCGACGGGUAGCCGGCCUGAGAGGGUGACCGGCCACACUGGGACUGAGACACGGCCCAGACUCCUACGGGAGGCAGCAGUGGGGAAUAUUGCACAAUGGGCGCAAGCCUGAUGCAGCAACGCCGCGUGAGGGAUGACGGCCUUCGGGUUGUAAACCUCUUUUAGCAGGGAAGAAGCGAGAGUGACGGUACCUGCAGAAAAAGCACCGGCUAACUACGUGCCAGCAGCCGCGGUAAUACGUAGGGUGCAAGCGUUAUCCGGAAUUAUUGGGCGUAAAGAGCUCGUAGGCGGUUUGUCGCGUCUGCUGUGAAAUCUGGGGGCUCAACCCCCAGCCUGCAGUGGGUACGGGCAGACUAGAGUGCGGUAGGGGAGAUUGGAAUUCCUGGUGUAGCGGUGGAAUGCGCAGAUAUCAGGAGGAACACCGAUGGCGAAGGCAGAUCUCUGGGCCGUAACUGACGCUGAGGAGCGAAAGGGUGGGGAGCAAACAGGCUUAGAUACCCUGGUAGUCCACCCCGUAAACGUUGGGAACUAGUUGUGGGGUCCAUUCCACGGAUUCCGUGACGCAGCUAACGCAUUAAGUUCCCCGCCUGGGGAGUACGGCCGCAAGGCUAAAACUCAAAGGAAUUGACGGGGACCCGCACAAGCGGCGGAGCAUGCGGAUUAAUUCGAUGCAACGCGAAGAACCUUACCAAGGCUUGACAUAUACGAGAACGGGCCAGAAAUGGUCAACUCUUUGGACACUCGUAAACAGGUGGUGCAUGGUUGUCGUCAGCUCGUGUCGUGAGAUGUUGGGUUAAGUCCCGCAACGAGCGCAACCCUCGUUCUAUGUUGCCAGCACGUAAUGGUGGGAACUCAUGGGAUACUGCCGGGGUCAACUCGGAGGAAGGUGGGGAUGACGUCAAAUCAUCAUGCCCCUUAUGUCUUGGGCUUCACGCAUGCUACAAUGGCCGGUACAAUGGGCUGCAAUACCGUGAGGUGGAGCGAAUCCCAAAAAGCCGGUCCCAGUUCGGAUUGAGGUCUGCAACUCGACCUCAUGAAGUCGGAGUCGCUAGUAAUCGCAGAUCAGCAACGCUGCGGUGAAUACGUUCCCGGGUCUUGUACACACCGCCCGUCAAGUCAUGAAAGUCGGUAACACCUGAAGCCGGUGGCCUAACCCCUUGUGGGAGGGAGCUGUCGAAGGUGGGAUCGGUAAUUAGGACUAAGUCGUAACAAGGUAACC